CCAGGUUUCUGCAAUCUACUACAGCCCUCACUGGUGAGUGAAAAAGCAGAGACCGUGCUUUCCAGCGCAAUCCGUGCGGCACCUUUGGCCACUGCUGGUACUGUCUGCAUGAAAGCACACAAGCAGACCACAGGCAUUGGCAGACCUGCUGCUGCACUAUUACGCAUUUCAACUCAGAGGUCACAGAACCAGCUGCACACUUYGGUCUGUGGAGGGAGAGAACGAUAUGGGUCCAUGCUGGAAACCUGAAAGUCCAAGGCUUGGUCUAAUAAUGAAGACUCGGAAAAAGAAAUGAAGGARAAUUUGGAUGGAUUUUUUUUCGCCCAAACCAAAUUUGAUACCGGGAUUUCUGGACUUGUGGAAUAUUUAGAGAAGCUGAGAGCAGUUUGUGCAGCGUUUGGACAAGCACUAACC
Molecule: long non-coding RNA, 414 nt
Filed under: Dromaius novaehollandiae (emu)
Lineage: Eukaryota; Metazoa; Chordata; Aves; Casuariiformes; Dromaiidae
Description: lncRNA (ENSDNVG00000008249.1)
Source: RNAcentral